AUGCUCACAUUGCCAGACUUCACCAAACCGUUCAGCAUAGAGACUGACGCCUGCGACACGGGCAUCGGUGCCGUGCUCGUGCAAGAAGGACACCCGGUGGCGUACUUCAGUAAGGCCUUAGGUGUGCGCAACCAGAAGCUUUCAGCUUACGAGAAGGAAUUUUUGGCCGUCAUGAUGGCAGUGGACAAAUGGCGAGCUUAUUUGCAACGCGGCCAGUUCACCAUUGUCACUGAUCACAAAAGUCUGUGUCACUUGGGUGAUCAACAGCUCGAGACAGAUUUGCGACGCAAAGCAAUGUCCAAGUUGGUUGGCCUGCAGUUUAAGUUUCAGUACCGGCGUGGAGUGGACAACGGAGCGGCAGAUGCCUUGUCACGG
This 375-nucleotide ribosomal RNA is filed under the name Triticum aestivum (bread wheat). RNAcentral's name for it is "partial small subunit ribosomal RNA". Lineage: Eukaryota; Viridiplantae; Streptophyta; Magnoliopsida; Poales; Poaceae. The record is from RNAcentral.